RNAcentral lists this ribosomal RNA (256 nucleotides) under uncultured bacterium. RNAcentral's name for it is "partial small subunit ribosomal RNA". It matches the Rfam family "Bacterial small subunit ribosomal RNA", at positions 26 to 285 of the family's 1533-position model. The record is from RNAcentral.
AGGACGAACGCUGGCGGCGUGCUUAACACAUGCAAGUCGAACGGUGAAGCCCUUCGGGGUGGAUCAGUGGCGAACGGGUGAGUAACACGUGAGCAAUCUGCCCCCGACUCUGGGAUAACUUCGGGAAACCGGAGCUAAUACCGGAUAUGACGCACGAUCGCAUGGUCUGUGUGUGGAAAGAUUUAUCGGUUGGGGAUGAGCUCGCGGCCUAUCAGCUUGUUGGUGGGGUAAUGGCCUACCAAGGCGACGACGGGUA